This 473-nucleotide ribosomal RNA is filed under the name uncultured Desulfobulbus sp. RNAcentral's name for it is "bacterial SSU rRNA". It matches the Rfam family "Bacterial small subunit ribosomal RNA", at positions 907 to 1382 of the family's 1533-position model. The record is from RNAcentral. Lineage: Bacteria; Pseudomonadati; Thermodesulfobacteriota; Desulfobulbia; Desulfobulbales; Desulfobulbaceae.
GAAUUGACGGGGCCCGCACAAGCGGUGAGCAUGUGGUUUAAUUCGAAGCAACGCGAAGAACCUUACCAGGCCUUGACAUGCAGAGAACUUUCCAGAGAUGGAUUGGUGCCUUCGGGAACUCUGACACAGGUGCUGCAUGGCUGUCGUCAGCUCGUGUCGUGAGAUGUUGGGUUAAGUCCCGUAACGAGCGCAACCCUUGCCUUUAGUUGCCAGCAGUUCGGCUGGGCACUCUAAAGGGACUGCCGGUGUUAAACCGGAGGAAGGUGGGGAUGACGUCAAGUCCUCAUGGCCUUUAUGACCAGGGCUACACACGUACUACAAUGGCCGAUACAAAGGGCAGCGACACUGCGAGGUGAAGCCAAUCCCGUAAAAUCGGUCUCAGUCCGGAUUGGAGUCUGCAACUCGACUCCAUGAAGUUGGAAUCGCUAGUAAUCGUGGAUCAGCAUGCCACGGUGAAUACGUUCCCGGGCCUU